UACGUAGGGGGCAAGCGUUGUCCGGAAUCAUUGGGCGUAAAGAGCGUGUAGGCGGCCCGAUAAGUCCGCCGUGAAAGUCCAGGGCUCAACCCUGGAAUGCCGGUGGAUACUGUCGGGCUAGAGUCCGGAAGGGGCGAGUGGAAUUCCUGGUGUAGCGGUGAAAUGCGCAGAUAUCAGGAGGAACACCGAUGGCGAAGGCAGCUCGCUGGGACGGUACUGACGCUGAGGCGCGAAAGCGUGGGGAGCAAACAGG
RNAcentral lists this ribosomal RNA (253 nucleotides) under uncultured bacterium. Its description in RNAcentral is "partial 16S ribosomal RNA". It matches the Rfam family "Bacterial small subunit ribosomal RNA", at positions 524 to 776 of the family's 1533-position model. The record is from RNAcentral.